GCUUGCGCUCGGAUAAAGAGAAGAGUCUCAUCCGGUAGAGCGAAUGAUUAGAGGCAUUGGGGUCGAAACGACCUCAACCUAUUCUCAAACUCCAAAUAGAUGAGAACCCCGGCUUUCUUAAAAUGAAGCCGUGGGAUUCGGAUCAAAGUGCCAAGUGGGCCAAUUUUGGUAAGCAGAACUGGCGCUGUGG
RNAcentral lists this ribosomal RNA (190 nucleotides) under Rasahus thoracicus. Its description in RNAcentral is "partial 28S ribosomal RNA". It matches the Rfam family "Eukaryotic large subunit ribosomal RNA", at positions 981 to 1161 of the family's 3401-position model. The record is from RNAcentral. Lineage: Eukaryota; Metazoa; Arthropoda; Insecta; Hemiptera; Reduviidae.